UAAGGGCGCACGGUGGAUGCCUUGGCACUAGAAGCCGAUGAAGGACGUUACUAACGACGAUAUGCUUUGGGGAGCUGUAAGUAAGCUUUGAUCCAGAGAUUUCCGAAUGGGGAAACCCAGCAUGAGUUAUGUCAUGUUAUCGAUAUGUGAAUACAUAGCAUAUCAGAAGGCACACCCGGAGAACUGAAACAUCUUAGUACCCGGAGGAAGAGAAAGAAAAUUCGAUUCCCUUAGUAGCGGCGAGCGAAACGGGAAGAGCCCAAACCAACAAGCUUGCUUGUUGGGGUUGUAGGACACUCUAUACGGAGUUACAAAGGACGACAUUAGACGAAUCAUCUGGAAAGAUGAAUCAAAGAAGGUAAUAAUCCUGUAGUCGAAAAUGUUGUCUCUCUUGAGUGGAUCCUGAGUACGACGGAGCACGUGAAAUUCCGUCGGAAUCUGGGAGGACCAUCUCCUAAGGCUAAAUACUCUCUAGUGAC
RNAcentral lists this ribosomal RNA (479 nucleotides) under Staphylococcus aureus. RNAcentral's name for it is "partial 23S ribosomal RNA". It matches the Rfam family "Bacterial large subunit ribosomal RNA", at positions 12 to 484 of the family's 2925-position model. Lineage: Bacteria; Bacillati; Bacillota; Bacilli; Caryophanales; Staphylococcaceae. The record is from RNAcentral.